Molecule: ribosomal RNA, 1361 nt
Filed under: Lactiplantibacillus argentoratensis
Lineage: Bacteria; Bacillati; Bacillota; Bacilli; Lactobacillales; Lactobacillaceae
Description: bacterial SSU rRNA
Rfam family: Bacterial small subunit ribosomal RNA
Source: RNAcentral
GUAUUGAUUGGUGCUUGCAUCAUGAUUUACAUUUGAGUGAGUGGCGAACUGGUGAGUAACACGUGGGAAACCUGCCCAGAAGCGGGGGAUAACACCUGGAAACAGAUGCUAAUACCGCAUAACAACUUGGACCGCAUGGUCCGAGCUUGAAAGAUGGCUUCGGCUAUCACUUUUGGAUGGUCCCGCGGCGUAUUAGCUAGAUGGUGGGGUAACGGCUCACCAUGGCAAUGAUACGUAGCCGACCUGAGAGGGUAAUCGGCCACAUUGGGACUGAGACACGGCCCAAACUCCUACGGGAGGCAGCAGUAGGGAAUCUUCCACAAUGGACGAAAGUCUGAUGGAGCAACGCCGCCUGAGUGAAGAAGGGUUUCGGCUCGUAAAACUCUGUUGUUAAAGAAGAACAUAUCUGAGAGUAACUGUUCAGGUAUUGACGGUAUUUAACCAGAAAGCCACGGCUAACUACGUGCCAGCAGCCGCGGUAAUACGUAGGUGGCAAGCGUUGUCCGGAUUUAUUGGGCGUAAAGCGAGCGCAGGCGGUUUUUUAAGUCUGAUGUGAAAGCCUUCGGCUCAACCGAAGAAGUGCAUCGGAAACUGGGAAACUUGAGUGCAGAAGAGGACAGUGGAACUCCAUGUGUAGCGGUGAAAUGCGUAGAUAUAUGGAAGAACACCAGUGGCGAAGGCGGCUGUCUGGUCUGUAACUGACGCUGAGGCUCGAAAGUAUGGGUAGCAAACAGGAUUAGAUACCCUGGUAGUCCAUACCGUAAACGAUGAAUGCUAAGUGUUGGAGGGUUUCCGCCCUUCAGUGCUGCAGCUAACGCAUUAAGCAUUCCGCCUGGGGAGUACGGCCGCAAGGCUGAAACUCAAAGGAAUUGACGGGGGCCCGCACAAGCGGUGGAGCAUGUGGUUUAAUUCGAAGCUACGCGAAGAACCUUACCAGGUCUUGACAUACUAUGCAAAUCUAAGAGAUUAGACGUUCCCUUCGGGGACAUGGAUACAGGUGGUGCAUGGUUGUCGUCAGCUCGUGUCGUGAGAUGUUGGGUUAAGUCCCGCAACGAGCGCAACCCUUAUUAUCAGUUGCCAGCAUUAAGUUGGGCACUCUGGUGAGACUGCCGGUGACAAACCGGAGGAAGGUGGGGAUGACGUCAAAUCAUCAUGCCCCUUAUGACCUGGGCUACACACGUGCUACAAUGGAUGGUACAACGAGUUGCGAACUCGCGAGAGUAAGCUAAUCUCUUAAAGCCAUUCUCAGUUCGGAUUGUAGGCUGCAACUCGCCUACAUGAAGUCGGAAUCGCUAGUAAUCGCGGAUCAGCAUGCCGCGGUGAAUACGUUCCCGGGCCUUGUACACACCGCCCGUCACACC